Molecule: long non-coding RNA, 435 nt
Filed under: Homo sapiens (human)
Lineage: Eukaryota; Metazoa; Chordata; Mammalia; Primates; Hominidae
Description: HSALNT0402824
Source: RNAcentral
CGGUCACAGUGACCGCCACCGUUGCCAAGGGAUGGGUCCCUGAGACUUGGCGAAGUGGGAGCCCUGUGUGAUCGUGCGUCAGAGUCGGGGCUGAGACCAGCCCCGGCCAGGGUAGUUACCGGGACGGUCUCCGGAGGCCGGGAUUCGCGGAGGGUCCACCAGCAGGAAGAAACCCCAGGAGGAAGAAACCUCAGACAGAUCGCCGGGGAGGCAGCGCGGGAUCCCAGCCUCAGGCGUGCGCGGACGGUGUGCGGGUCCAGCUAUGCAUCACCCCUUCGCUGAUGAGCCUUAAGAAAAUCCAAAUUUAUAAAUUGCUGGGUCCAUCUCUCUUUCCAUCCAGAAAAGUCAGAGCAACUGGUCUUGCUGGUUUUAAGUGUUGCCUGUGUUUCUGGCAUUGGCCUGGAAGUGGAAAUACUGUGACAUAAAAUAGAGGCA